Molecule: small RNA, 1400 nt
Filed under: Pongo abelii (Sumatran orangutan)
Lineage: Eukaryota; Metazoa; Chordata; Mammalia; Primates; Hominidae
Description: retained intron
Source: RNAcentral
AGACUGUGAAUUUUCUUUCUUUGAUCCUAAUGAUGCAUCAUGCCAGGAAAUUCUUUUUGAUCCCAAAACUUCAGUUUCAGAAUUAUUUGCCAUUUUGAGACAGUGGGUUCCUCAGGUCCAGCAAAACAUUGACAUUAUUGGAAAUGAGGUAAGGAAUUCUUACAUUUUAAAUUUUGCAUUGUUAGGAUUGUUAAUGGUAUAGAUUUUUUCCCCAUCUGAAAGGAAGAUGGUAAUAAAGGAGAAACCCUUUAAAGGUUCUGAUAUUUAUUUGUAUUUUGAGGAUUUUCAUGGGGCAGUGAGUUAAUACUAUAUAUUCUUCUGAUUAUUUCUUCAUGCUCUGUACUUCUGACAUUUGUAGACUCCUGGUGGGUGCAGGGAGGGGCAUUUUUCAUAUUUCCUUCUUUGUAAAAAUUGAUUUUGCAAACUUUUAUGCAUUUUGUGAAGGGAUUUGAUUACCAUCAUGUUCUAUUUACACUUUUGGGUGGUUUGGUAAAGAUAUAGCCUGGAGUGUAGUCUUUAAGAAUAUUAGAUUUUUUGAGGGAGGGUUCCUUGACCAGUAUGUUGCUGUGUUGUAGGAAGAGAGUGCUUAUACUUUUUUCAAAUAUCAUUAUACCCAUAGAAAUAAAAUUUUGCUCAUUUUUGAGAGGAACAUAUUUGGAGUGCCAGAUUACCUUUGGAAUAAUCUUCAAGAAUUUCCUUCAGCCUGCUGACAAGUUCAGGUUUCAUUAUUGUUGUUGAGUGCAGAUUUAAAAUUUACCCUUAAGAUAUGCCCAUACUGUCUAUAUAUUUUACUGAGAAGUAAUUCAGAUACAAUAGACUAACUUGGUUCCUCAGCAUUGGUUUGAAAGCAAUAGGUACCUCAGUAGUUAGGUUGUAACCAUAUUUUCCUUGACUGCUUCAGAUUCUUAAGAGAGGUUGCAAUGUGAAUGAUAGAGAUGGAUUGACAGAUAUGACUCUUUUGCAUUAUACCUGCAAAUCUGGAGCUCAUGGUAUUGGUAAGUGUGUGGUAAAUCUAUCAGUUGUUUAUGUCAUCUGCACUUGUGCUUAGAUAAUCUAUAUUUAUGCCCAUAUAUUGUCCGGGGGAAGGCACCCAGCUGAUGAUAAUAAUAUUGCCUGAAGAGUUGAGGAUUCAGUUAGGUCCUUCCAAAAACCAUAUUCCCUUUUCUCAAGGAGGUCUUUAUACCCUCCUGAUACCUCUUAACUUUUCUGGAUCAGGCCUCAUGCCUGAUUGCAUAAUAGAUGAGAGUAACUACUAACACCCUAAAAUCCUUCUGAGGGUUUAUAACAAGGUUUGACGGUCCAAGGUCAGUCUUUGCAUACUGAUCCCUAAUCUUAAGACCCCAGUCUUGAGACCUAAGGUCUGUUCCUACAUAUGUAACAUAUGUGCAUAUUUUCCAAAA